CCUACGGGAGGCAGCAGUGGGGAAUAUUGGNCAAUGGGNGCAAGCCUGAUCCAGCCAUGCCGCGUGAGUGAUGAAGGCCUUAGGGUUGUAAAGCUCUUUCACCGGGGAAGAUAAUGACGGUACCCGGAGAAGAAGCCCCGGCUAACUUCGUGCCAGCAGCCGCGGUAAUACGAAGGGGGCUAGCGUUGUUCGGAAUUACUGGGCGUAAAGCGCACGUAGGCGGAUAUUUAAGUCAGGGGUGAAAUCCCNGAGCUCAACUCUGGAACUGCCUUUGAUACUGGGUAUCUUGAGUAUGGAAGAGGUAAGUGGAAUUCCGAGUGUAGAGGUGAAAUUCGUAGAUAUUCGGAGGAACACCAGGGGCGAAGGCGGCUCACUGGGCCAUUACUGACGCUGAGGUGCNAAAGCGUGGGGAGCAAACAGGAUUAGAUACCCUGGUAGA
This 439-nucleotide ribosomal RNA is filed under the name uncultured bacterium. RNAcentral's name for it is "bacterial SSU rRNA". It matches the Rfam family "Bacterial small subunit ribosomal RNA", at positions 338 to 794 of the family's 1533-position model. The record is from RNAcentral.